Molecule: non-coding RNA, 31 nt
Filed under: Mus musculus (house mouse)
Lineage: Eukaryota; Metazoa; Chordata; Mammalia; Rodentia; Muridae
Source: RNAcentral
UAGCCUAAUAUCCUAAACUAAGGAUAAACUU